RNAcentral lists this ribosomal RNA (253 nucleotides) under uncultured bacterium. Its description in RNAcentral is "partial 16S ribosomal RNA". It matches the Rfam family "Bacterial small subunit ribosomal RNA", at positions 524 to 776 of the family's 1533-position model. The record is from RNAcentral.
UACGAAGGGGGCUAGCGUUGCUCGGAAUCACUGGGCGUAAAGGGUGCGUAGGCGGGUCUUUAAGUCAGGGGUGAAAUCCUGGAGCUCAACUCCAGAACUGCCUUUGAUACUGAAGAUCUUGAGUUCGGGAGAGGUGAGUGGAACUGCGAGUGUAGAGGUGAAAUUCGUAGAUAUCGGGAGGAACAUCAGUGGCGAAGGCGGCUGCCUGGCCCAAUACUGACACUCAGGUGCGACAGCGUGGGGAGCAAACAGG